UACUGGAAAGACAGAUGAUUUAGCUAGGGAAAGUAGCGUUCUAGCCACAAUUCCAGUCUGCGAAACGUGAAACUAUGCGAUGCAUGUAUGUUGUAAUGCCGUUGAUGUCUCUACUGUUUUGUGUAUUCUUCGCGUCAAGCGCUCCAAGCACACAACAUAUCUGGGAGCGCUUGGUCAGACGGUCUGGCCUCCGCAGUUACCGGCAUGCUGACUCGAGCAAUUGGAGUCAAGAUGGCUAUAUUACAGAGUCUUGCUCCACUUUUCCCACGAUGCAAGCCAGCUGUAUACCACGAAAAUGCGCUUUUAGAGGAUAUGGAUGCGUACCGUUGAAGCUUUGCCAAGAAAAGCUAUCAAUGUGCCGAAGUAGAUGUAACAACCGAUCUGUUUGCUGCCAACUCAAACAAAUGAAGUCCUGCUCCUUGGCUGGAGGAACUUGUAACAGAACUUGCGAAGUUGAAAACAACAGGAUCAAAUGCCCUGGACAACUGAAGUGCUGUGUUCAUUUGGAGCGCUAAGCAGCCACUGCCUCAGCUUGCCUGCAUGCGAGACAUAAUGCCGGCUUGAUGAACGAAAACCUUACGAAUCAUUGUCCAUAUCCUUCUACCCAUU
Dermacentor silvarum is the source of this 609-nucleotide long non-coding RNA. RefSeq lists it as uncharacterized. The transcript has 4 exons. NCBI's taxonomy places the organism in Eukaryota, Metazoa, Arthropoda, Arachnida, Ixodida, Ixodidae. The record is from RefSeq and is a predicted model, not a curated record.